Molecule: long non-coding RNA, 3834 nt
Filed under: Nicotiana tabacum (common tobacco)
Lineage: Eukaryota; Viridiplantae; Streptophyta; Magnoliopsida; Solanales; Solanaceae
Description: long non-coding RNA (NTAB_LNC003926)
Source: RNAcentral
UUACAAGAAACAUACUCCUUCAAAGUAUUACUACAAGUCACCUGUUCCUUCAAAGAAUUACUAUAAGUCACCAGCUCCUUCAAAACACUACUACAAGGCACCAGUUGCAACCAAGUAUUACAAGUCACCUGCUCCCUCAAAGCAUUAUUACAAGUCACCUGCUCCCACAAAGUAUUAUUACAAGUCCUCAACUCCUUCAAAACACUACUACAAGGCACCGGUUGCAACCAAGUAUUACAAGUCACCUGCUCCCUCAAAGCAUUAUUACAAGUCACCUGCUCCCACAAAGUAUUAUUACAAGUCCCCAACUCCUUCAAAGUACUACUACAAGUCCCCGUCGCCAGCAAAGUACUACAAGUCGCCUACAACUUAUAAUUCACCACCUCCACCAAAAACCUAUGAACAUUCGCCAUCAUAUUACUCACCUCCACCACCAACUUACUACAAGCAAACACCUAUCUACCCUUCACCUCCACCACCUGUGAAGUACGAGCAAUCUGUCACCUAUGCUUCACCUCCACCACCAACAUACUACAAGCAAGAACCCACCUAUGCUUCACCUCCACCACCUGUGAAGUACGAGCAAGCACCCACCUAUGCUUCACCUCCACCACCAACGUACUACAAGCAAACACCCACCUAUGCUUCACCUCCACCACCAACGUACUACAAGCAAACACCCACGUAUGCUUCACCUCCACCACCUGUGAAGUACGAGCAAUCUGUCACAUAUGUUUCACCUCCACCACCAACGUACUACAAGCAAACUCCCACCUAUACUUCACCUCCACCACCUGUGAAGUACGAGCAGUCAGUCACCUAUGCUUCACCUCCACCACCAGCAACAUCUCCCCCACCAACCUACUACUAAUAUUCAACCCUUCCCCUCAAUUAUUUUCCACAUCUCCAUGACUUAUAACUCCUUUUCAUCCUCUCUCCGAGUAUUUUCAUUUUCUUUCCGCCACAGUUUUAUGUAUGUUUCCCAAAAUGAUCGGCUUUGCUUGCUGUGUGUUCUUUUAUUUAAUAACUUGUACUAUCAUAUGAGUUUUAAGUAAGAUCCUUGAGAUCUCCAUCAAUUUGGCUUUAUUGUAUCAAGAUCCUUUUUUUUUGUUGUAAUUUAUCAAGAAUCUGCAGUUAAUCUAAUAUUAUUUCUUAUCCGUUGAAUACUUUACUUUGGUCUUUACACAUACCUCCAGGGCAUCUAAGAGUAGUUGAUUACCUACUAAAAAAGAAGAGAAAAAGAAAAAAUAUGGAUGUGAGUCGAAAGACGUGGUCAUGGAUCAACACAGCAGUAAAGUUUCUUCUUUGACUUACUAUAGUAUUAUGGAUUCUAAUUGUACUUAUAAGCUAUUUAGGAAAUAAAAUUAUAUAUAAAUAAACCGAAUAAGAAAGAAAUAAAGAUUAAAUGUAAGCAUAUGAAUCAUUUUUCCAAUUCUUUUUCAAAAAUGAAUUCUCUAUGUUAAAUAUGUCAAAAGAUACAACGUUGUUACGAAUGGAGUAUAUGUAUUGCUAAUAUCAGUGUUAUUUUUUAAAUAGAAUCAAGUAAUACUCGAGUAAUAAUACAGAAUUUACUAGGAGAAUAAACUCGAGAAAAUAAAAUUUAAGUAAAUAGUUACUGGAAAUGUAUUAAAUAAAGGAAAAACACCCGUAGCAUUUAAAUAACACUUUGGUACCAUCAGUCUUCCCUCUGCGCAGCCUUAGGAGCCCCAACACCACAGCUACAGUCCCGCCAGCAAACCCAAAUUACCAGUGCUACUUCCACUUGUCCCCGCCGGAUGUAGUUAGAUAGAAUCUGAAAAUAGCGUCCACAGGUUUUAUGUAGAUGUGGAGAUUGCCAUAAUGCAAUGAAGUUUAUAUCAGUAGCGGAGGGAAGAGAGAUAAUUGUUAGAGAUUCUAAUCGUUUUCACCAUAUUACAGAUGAACUCUGCUCCUGCAAUGACUAUUGGUGAAAAUCUUUUACUGUCAAUUAUGGUCUUAUUGGCACGUCCAGACCAAUACGUAGCAAACAUGACUAGAAUACUAUAUCUGAGCAAGAAAUGUGAAAAUGUCAUUAUUCAAGCUGAAGCAAAAAAGAUCAAGCUCGUAGGUUACCCAAAUAAAUUCGGCAAGAAAAGUCAGUCAAACCUUAUCAAUUGACAGUAAUGUAUGUCAGUAUCUAUUUUGGUUCCUGUUUUUUGUUUAAUCUCCUGAAAUCUCUUGCAGUCAAAUUGGCUUAUUAUCCAACUAGGUCUGUUUUGGCAUUAAUCCAAAAGUAAAAGAAGUAGUUGAUCUGAAUCCAAACCAAACUGAUAACAUGUAUACCGUUGUUAUUUUUAACACUUAAAAGUAUUUACAACAACAACAUAUCCGUGUGAUACCACAAGUAAGAUUUGAUAGUAUGUAUGCAGACCUACCUCUGUCUUGUGAAAGAAACACAUAAAAUAUGUUAUUAUAAAAGGUCUAUAAACAUUUUGUUUGCAGUUUCCUCUUUUAUUUUAUGUUUUUAUUUUUUCUGGUGACUUUGACAUCUGAGUUUGUAGUAGCUUUGUUUGUAUAGAAUCGCACACAACGUGUUGAUAACCAUUGCAUUUUUGUUAUCCUGUUGCUUGUCUUUGGAGAUAGGGGCAGUGACAUCGCCACGUAGAGUGAAGGGUGGUCAAUUGAAUAUCCUUCAACGAAAAUCUAUUCUGAGUAUAUAGAAAAUUAUAUUGUGUAUAUAUAUCAAAUUUACUUUUCAUACAUAUAUUAAACUUUGAAUAUUCAUAGCGAAAUUCUUGAACAUCGGCGAUGUCAAACUCAAUUGUCAUAAGUCAACUUACAGAUUUUGGCAUUGUAAAAAGAACAAAGAAAAUGUCCCCAUUUCUUUGUUCUGCUUAUUGUUUAGAAAUAGUCAAUCUUUAACUAAUUUGUGCUAUCCCUCUUUAUUGUACUUUUAUUAAGUAUUUUUCUUAUUUAAAUUAUUUUGUCACCAGAUAAUGCCUCCCACUUUGUACUGAUCAAGUCCUUCUUUGUACUUUGCUCUUUGCUUAGUGGGUAACCAUGAAGCUAUUACAUUAAUGUGCAAAAUUAUGUCACAUUGCCUAUAAAAAUUAGAGCUCUCUACUCAAAUAUGCAAGACAAGUCUUAGUUCUAUCUUUCCCUUUUCCAGCUAUAGUUUGUUGCAAAUCAAAAUGACAAGCUUAGGGAAGUUGGGCCAAUGGCCCUUACUAACAGCUGCUUUGGUAAUUUGCUUAGUAGCCAGCACUGUUGUUGCUGAUUACUCUUAUGGCUAUACUUAUCCUUCUUACAACUCUAAGAAGUACUACAAAUCACCAUCUCCAUCCAAGUAUGAGGUACCCACUCCUUACUACAAGAAAACUGAGAAACCUGCUGCACAUUCUCCGUCACACUACUAUAAAUCUCCAGCACCAUCGAAGCACGACUAUUACAAGUCGCCAUCACCAAUAAAAUAUUACAAAUCGCACUUGCCAACAAAAUAUUACAAGUCGCCUGCUCCUUCAAAGCAAUACUAUAAGUCACCCGUUGUAGUGAAAUAUUACAAGUCACCCGCUCCUGUAACACAUUAUUACAAGUCGCAUGUUCCAUCAAAACACUACUACAAGUCACCAUCUCCUUCAAAACACUAUUAUAAGUCAUCGGUUGCAAAGAAGUAUUACAAGAAACAUACUCCUUCAAAGUAUUACUACAAGUCACCUGUUCCUUCAAAGAAUUACUAUAAGUCACCAGCUCCUUCAAAACACUACUACAAGGCACCAGUUGCAACCAAGUAUUACAAGUCACCUGUUCCCUCAAAGCAUUAUUACAAGUCACCUGCUCCCACAAAGUAUUAUUACAAGUCCUCAACUCCUUCAAAAC